Molecule: ribosomal RNA, 393 nt
Filed under: uncultured bacterium
Lineage: Bacteria
Description: partial 16S ribosomal RNA
Rfam family: Bacterial small subunit ribosomal RNA
Source: RNAcentral
CCUACGGUGUGCAGCAGUGAUGAAUAUUUUUCAAUUUAAUCAAUUCUUAACCAUCCAUUCCUCUUGCAUGAAGACUUCUCUAUUAGUUGUAAACUGCUUUUGUACGAGGGUAAACGCAGAUACGUGUAUCUGUCUGAAAGUAUCGUACGAAUAAGGAUCGGCUAACUCCGUGCCAGCAGCCGCGGUAAUACGGAGGAUUCAAGCGUUAUCCGGAUUUAUUGGGUUUAAAGGGUGCGUAGGCGGUCGGAUAAGUUAGAGGUGAAAUCCCGAGGCUCAACUUCGGAAUUGCCUCUGAUACUGUGCGGCUAGAGAGUAGUUGCGGUAGGCGGAAUGUGUGGUGUAGCGGUGAAAUGCUUAGAGAUCAUACAGAACACCGAUUGCGAAGGCAGCUUA